This 400-nucleotide unclassified non-coding RNA is filed under the name soil metagenome. RNAcentral's name for it is "partial contains 5.8S ribosomal RNA, internal transcribed spacer 2, and large subunit ribosomal RNA". The stretch from base 1 to 122 matches the Rfam family "5.8S ribosomal RNA", at positions 35 to 154 of the family's 154-position model. The record is from RNAcentral.
GAUGAAGAACGUAGCGAAAUGCGAUACUUGGUGUGAAUUGCAGAAUCCCGUGAACCAUCGAGUCUUUGAACGCAAGUUGCGCCUCAAGCCAUUAGGUUGAGGGCACGUCUGCCUGGGCGUCACAUAUCGUUGCCUGAUGCCAGUUUCCUCGUGAUGGGUGACUGUGCAGGGCGAAUGAUGGCUUCCCGUGAGCAUUGUUGCCUCAUGGUUGGUUGAAAAUUGAGUCCUUGGUAGGGAGCGCCGUGAUAGAUGGUGGUUGAGUGACGAACGAGACCCAAUCAUGUGAGACCCCUACCGAAUUUGGCCUUCAUGACCCACAUGCGUCUUUGGAACGCUCAUGACGAGACCUCAGGUCAGGCGGGGCUACCCGCUGAGUUUAAGCAUAUCCAUAAGCGGAGGA